RNAcentral lists this transfer RNA (71 nucleotides) under Cordylochernes scorpioides. RNAcentral's name for it is "tRNA-Gly". It matches the Rfam family "tRNA". Rfam says of the family: Transfer RNA (tRNA) molecules are approximately 80 nucleotides in length. The record is from RNAcentral. Lineage: Eukaryota; Metazoa; Arthropoda; Arachnida; Pseudoscorpiones; Chernetidae.
GCAUCGAUGGUUCAGUGGUAAAAUGCUCGCCUGCCACGCGGGUGGCCCGGGUUCGAUUCCCGGCCGAUACC